UCCGGUCGCCGCCGCCGCCGCCGCCGCCGCCGCCGCCGUCUCGUAAAUACUAUCCGCUACCCCACCACGCCCCCACGAACUCCCCCUACGCUUCCCCCACCGUCCUCCCCGGCCAGCGCCGCCGCCGUCGGCCGGACCCUUCGCUACGGUUCUUACAUGUACAUGGUCGGUGAUCUCCAGGGAGGUUGAUGCUUCCAUGCUGCACUUGAAGAUUUGGUCAGCUGUUGUCGCCUUGCUGGCCCUGUUUCUCCUCUGGCUUUAGAAGGAAGCCAUGGCGGGCCGAGAGGAGAGAUAUGUGAGGUUUCAGGACUGGAGAUCAGAGCAAUCUGUUUCAGUUGUUUCAGAUAGGGUAGUUUCACAAAAAGGGCAUAAUGUCUUUGGGUUGCUAAAGGGCAGAACUGCAGGAGCCUUUUCAUUCUUAGGGAACUCUUCACAUUCCGAAACUCAAAACAAAUCAGCUUCAGAGGAAAGGAAUCGCAAAACAAGAGUUCUUGAUCCCCAAGGGCCAUUUUUGCAGAGAUGGAACAAGAUAUUUGUGAUAUCAUGUCUUUUUGCAGUUUUGUCGACCCAUUAUUCUUGUAUAUCCCGGUAAUCAAUGGUGACAAUAACUGCAUGCACUUGGACAAGAAGUUGGAAACUGCAGCAAGUAUCCUGCGCUUUUUCACAGAUAUCUUCUAUUUACUCCAUAUAAUGUUUCAGUUCAGGACGGGCUUUAUUGCUCCUUCUUCUAGAGUGUUUGGUCGGGGUGUCUUGGUUGAGGACACGUUUGCAAUAGCGAAGCGGUAUAUGUCAACAUUUUUUCUGGUUGAUUUCUUAGCUGUUCUGCCCCUCCCACAGGUAUUUGUGUUGGUUGUGCUGCCUCGUCUCGAAGGUUCUGAAAUUAUGAAGGCUAAAAUUGUAUUACUGAUUAUUAUCAUAUGUCAAUAUGUUCCUCGACUGCUCCGAAUAAUACCUCUUUACCUUCAAAUCACAAGAUCUGCUGGUAUACUUACAGAGACAGCAUGGGCUGGUGCUGCUUUCAACCUGAUAAUUUAUAUGCUUGCCAGUCAUGGCUUUGGAGCUCUUUGGUACAUGCUUUCCAUCCAACGAUUAGACUCCUGUUGGAGACAAGCAUGUAGCAAUCAUACUGGCUGUCAUCCUACAUCUUUAUAUUGUGAGACUAAUACAUUUGGAAAUAAUGCUUUCUUGCCAAUUGUUUGCUCAACAAAUGGCGAUACCAAGCCAGACCCGACGUUUGGAAUUUUUCUACCAGCUCUCCGGAAUGUUUCAAGUUCAAAGAGUUUCUUCGAGAAACUAUUCUAUUGCUUUUGGUGGGGACUACAAAAUCUAAGUUCUCUUGGUCAGAACAUGAUUACAAGCACUAAUACAUUGGAGAAUCUGUUUGCGGUUUUUGUCUCAACAUCAGGCUUGGUUCUAUUUGCACUACUUAUUGGUAAUGUGCAGACCUAUUUACAGUCAGCCUCUGUGCGUAUAGAAGAAAUGAGAAUGAAAAGGCGGGAUACAGAGCAGUGGAUGGCACAUAGGCUACUUCCUGAAAAUCUUAAGGAGCGGAUUAUGCGCCAUGAACAAUAUAGGUGGCAAGAAACAAGAGGUGUUGAUGAAGAGGGCCUUCUUGCAAAUCUUCCCAAGGAUCUUCGAAGAGAGAUAAAGAGACAUCUUUGUUUGUCUCUUCUGAUGAAGGUUCCAAUGUUUGAAAACAUGGAUGAGCAGCUCUUGGAUGCUAUGUGUGAUCGUCUAAAGCCCAUGCUGUACACGGAAGGAAGCUGCAUCAUUCGUGAAGGUGACCCAGUGAAUGAAAUGCUCUUCAUCAUGAGGGGAACACUAGAGAGUACGACAACAAAUGGUGGACAGACUGGCUUCUUCAACUCUAAUGUUCUAAAAGGUGGUGACUUCUGUGGUGAAGAGCUCCUCACAUGGGCCCUUGACCCCACUUCAGCAUCGAAUCUCCCUGGCUCAACUAGGACAGUGAAGACGCUGACUGAAGUCGAAGCUUUUGCUUUGAGGGCUGACGACUUGAAGUUUGUUGCCACCCAAUUCAGGAGGCUUCACAGCAAACAGCUCCAACAUACCUUCAGAUUCUACUCACAGCAAUGGAGAACUUGGGCCGCUUGCUUCAUACAGGCAGCGUGGCACAGAUACUGCAGAAAGAAGCUUGAAGAGACUUUGUACGAAAAGGAAAAGAGGUUGCAGGCAGCAAUCGUAUGCGACGGCACUACUUCCCUCAGUCUUGGUGCAGCGCUCUACGCUUCGCGUUUUGCGGGUAACAUGAUGCGGAUCUUGCGGAGAAAUGCCACCCGAAAGGCCCGUUUGCAGGAAAGAGUGCCUGUAAGAUUAUUACAGAAGCCAGCAGAACCCAACUUUUUUGUUGAAGAUCGGUGAUCUCGUCUUCGAGGGCACCCUGUAACAAGCGGACAUUAUUCAUGAUCCAACCGGUACAAAACUCGCGUGAUUGGAUGCUGCACAAGUGUACAUAUAGAUCAGGUGGUCUAAAGCCAUCUGGUUUGAAUCACGGAAUUCGAUGUAUCUACGAUUCUUUUAUUAUACACACCAUAUUAAAUCUGCAUACAAGAUGCAUGUAUUUAUAUUUUAUAAGCAUCCCAGAUUUUACCUCUUGUGAAUCUCGAAAACAGAAGAUGCUGUAAAUGUUACUGAUGAAAAGUUUGUUGAUUUUGAUAUGUUCUCGAUGUGAACUGUGAGAGGAAGAGGUUGAUAUGAAGUGAAAAAGGGAUCAUGAAA
This is an RNA transcript of Panicum virgatum (switchgrass), 2736 nucleotides long. It is a transcript of the gene named cyclic nucleotide-gated ion channel 1-like, with no coding region annotated. Lineage: Eukaryota; Viridiplantae; Streptophyta; Magnoliopsida; Poales; Poaceae. The record is from RefSeq and is a predicted model, not a curated record. The transcript has 8 exons.